GACAGAGGGUGCAAACGUUGUUCGGAAUUACUGGGCGUAAAGCGUGUGUAGGCGGCCAUGUAAGUCGGAUGUGAAAGCCCCAGGCUCAACCUGGGAAGUGCAUUCGAUACUGCGUGGCUUGAGUAUCGGAGAGGUUGGUGGAAUUCUCGGUGUAGAGGUGAAAUUCGUAGAUAUCGAGAGGAACACCAGUGGCGAAGGCGACUUACUGGUCCAUGACUGACGCUGAGGCUCGAAAGCGUGGGGAGCAAACAGG
This 253-nucleotide ribosomal RNA is filed under the name uncultured bacterium. RNAcentral's name for it is "partial 16S ribosomal RNA". It matches the Rfam family "Bacterial small subunit ribosomal RNA", at positions 524 to 776 of the family's 1533-position model. The record is from RNAcentral.